Molecule: ribosomal RNA, 492 nt
Filed under: uncultured bacterium
Lineage: Bacteria
Description: partial 16S ribosomal RNA
Rfam family: Bacterial small subunit ribosomal RNA
Source: RNAcentral
GGUGAACGCUGGCGGCGUGCCUAAUACAUGCAAGUCGAACGACACUUCAUUAUCACCGUGUGCUUGCACUCACCGAUUAAGGGUUGGGUGGCGAACGGGUCAGUAACUAGUGGGCAAUCUGCGAUAACGAGGGGGAACACACUUUAAUACAGCAUAUGAUAUAGCGUAAAAAUCGGUAGAGCUUGGUAACUAUCUCGAAGGAAGCUAUCCAAGUCGGAUUAGCUAGUUGGCAGGGUAAAGGCCCACCAAGGCGAGGAUCCGUAGCUGGUCUGAGAGGAUGAUCAGCCACACUGGAACUGAGACACGGUCCAGACUCCUACGGGAGGCAGCAGUAGGGAAUAUUCCACAAUGGGCGAAAGCCUGAUGCAGCAAUGCCGCGUGGGUGAAGAAGGUCUUCGGAUCGUAAAGCCCUUUUGUUAGGGAAGAAAAGGCGUAAGAUUAUCCCCCCACGUUUUGACGGUACCUAACCAGUAAGCCACGGCUAACUUCGUG